AUUGCAUUAUUGUAAUGUUUGAAGGUUGAAUAAACGGAAAAAAAAAAAUAAAUAAAUAAAAAAAAUCUGUUCUUAUCAGUUUAAUAUCUGAUACGUCCCCUAUACGGGGACUUCAUAUUAAACGGAUUUUUAGAACAGGGAGGCGAAACAGGGGCUUGCCCCGUUCGCCCCACGCAUCGGCCUGGUAUUGCAGUGCCUCCGGGAACGGUGCACCUUCU
This is a small nuclear RNA of Electrophorus electricus (electric eel), 218 nucleotides long. Its record names the gene U2. It matches the Rfam family "U2 spliceosomal RNA". From Rfam's summary of the family: U2 is a small nuclear RNA (snRNA) component of the spliceosome (involved in pre-mRNA splicing). Complementary binding between U2 snRNA (in an area lying towards the 5' end but 3' to hairpin I) and the branchpoint sequence (BPS) of the intron results the bulging out of an unpaired adenosine, on the BPS, which initiates a nucleophilic attack at the intronic 5' splice site, thus starting the first of two transesterification reactions that mediate splicing. Lineage: Eukaryota; Metazoa; Chordata; Actinopteri; Gymnotiformes; Gymnotidae. The record is from Ensembl.